This 494-nucleotide ribosomal RNA is filed under the name uncultured bacterium. RNAcentral describes it as "partial 16S ribosomal RNA". It matches the Rfam family "Bacterial small subunit ribosomal RNA", at positions 28 to 507 of the family's 1533-position model. The record is from RNAcentral.
GACGAACGCUGGCGGCGCGCUUAACACAUGCCAGUCGAACGGAAAGGCCUGCUUUCCCUUGUGGAUUGCGGGUACUCGAGUGGCGAACGGGUGAGUAACACGUGAGUGAUCUGCCCCCAACUUGGGUAUAAGCCUGGGAAACUGGGUCUAAUUCCCGAUAGGACUGCAGGGUGGUGCCUGUGGUGGAAAACGAUUUUCUAGUGGUUGGGGAUGAGCUCGCGGCCUAUCAGCUUGUUGGUGGGGUAAUGGCCUACCAAGGCGGCGACGGGUAGCCGGCCUGAGGGGGUGGACGGGCACAUUGGGACUGAGAUACGGCCCAGACUCCUACGGGAGGCAGCAGUGGGGAGUAUGGCACAAGGGGCGGAAGCCUGAUGCAGCGACGCCGCGUGGGGGAUGACGGCCUUCGGGCUGUAAACUCCUUUCGACCGCGAGGAAGCCACCUGGUUGGAAGGGUGGUGACGGUAGUGGUAGAAGAAGCACCGGCUAACUACGUG